AACAUAUGGGCACGAUCUGCGCCGCGGAGGGACCCGGCUUGCGACGCUUGCUGCCCGCUGCCCGCUGCCCGCGGCUGCGCCCCCGACCGAGCCUGCAGGCGCACAGGUGCCCAGCGUCCGUCCGAGCACGGGGCCGACCCUUGAAGUCGCCGGCCGGCCUCACCGGGGACACAGGGCUUCUCCUCUGCAGACCACAGCUGGCACCCGGCCCCUGUACUCCACCACAGACCCAGCGGCACCCUUGGGAGAACCUAGCGCACUCGACAACUACACGGAUAAUGACAGCGCUGCCCUCAGUGUUUGUAAGAACACAGGCAAAGCUCACAUCACACCGGCACCUGUAGCUAGCUGUGUGUGCGUUCCUUAUCAGAAUUCCUCACCCUACAGCGGCCGUGGUGGGAAGGCAGGCACACAGGUACGAGGAGGUCUGACCUAAGAAGCUGUGUGCCGGGGAGUUAGGUGGCAGGAGCCACAGCCCGGCGUGGGGAGUGUUGCACUUGGCAGCUGUGCUGGGCAGCUGCCUGGAGCCGGUGGAGGGGGAGACAGGCUGGGCUGCGGGCGGCAGGCACUCAGUGAGUGACGGCCACAGGGACCUGUGCUGGGUAGCCCAGAGGCAGUUACAAAGCGGUUGUGGGGGUUAGGGUCAGGGUCAGGGUCGAGGGGGCCUGGGCUCAGGGAGACAAAGGGAGCUCCUGGGGUGCCUGACUCGCCCUCCCGCACUGGGGCACAGUGGGUUAAGCUGCCGCUUACAGUGGUGACCUUCUGUAUCAGCCUGUUCAAGUCCCCGCUGCUCCACUUCCGAUCCAGCUCUCUGCUAAUGCACCUGGGAAAGCAGAAGAUGGCUCAAGUACUUGGGCCCUGUCACCCACAUGGGAGAUCGUGGUGGACUUCCAGGCUCCUGGACUCUGCCUCGUCCAGUUCCAGCCAUUGCUGGCAUCUGGGGAGUGAAACAGCAGAUGGGAGCUGUGUGUGUGUGUGUGUGUGUGUGUGUGUGUGUGUGUGUCUAACGGGAAAAACUUUAAAUAAAACUCAGUGCUAAUCAGUAUCCUGUGGUAAC
Molecule: long non-coding RNA, 1057 nt
Filed under: Oryctolagus cuniculus (rabbit)
Lineage: Eukaryota; Metazoa; Chordata; Mammalia; Lagomorpha; Leporidae
Description: lncRNA (ENSOCUG00000032999.1)
Source: RNAcentral